GCUUCUGGCCCCUUUCUCUGGAGGAGCUCCGCGCGUGGCGAGUCUGUGUCCUCCCUGUCCCCCAGAGCAGAGAACCCUCUCUGUGUCUGGACGGGGGAGGAGCAGACGCUGGACAGGUUUUUGGCAAAAUGCUGGCAAUUCCCAGGAAGAUAUGUGGAGAACGGAAAGGUUGCUACACCCAAAUAGUGGCGCAAAGGCUAUGAUUAUGGAGGAUUGGACCUGCAAACUCCAGAACAGAGCAACCUUGUAAAAUGUGUGUGGGCAGCACAGAGACCUUGGGCAAGUUAACAGUUUCCUCAUCUGUAAAUACUGAUUUAUGGAAAGCACCUGGUGUAUGUUCUGCCCUCUGAGGACCCUGCCCUUUCCCAAAAGGGGUAUCUUAAGAAGGAAAAUAUGGCUGCUCUUUGCCGGACAGCAGAGUCCCAGAACCCCAUGCAGGUGUUUCAGGGCUUUACGUCAUUCAAGGAUGUGGCUGUGAACUUCACUAGGAAGAAUGGAGAGUACUGGACCUUGCUCAGAGAGUCUUGUACAGGGAUGUAAUGCUGGAGAACUAUAGGAACCUGGUCUCCUUGGGAUUUCCAUUUUCCAAACCUGGUAUCAUCUCCUAGUUGGAAGAAGUGGUAGGCCCACGAACGCAAAUGCAGGAGGGAGAGGUGCCAAGAAGCAGCUGUACACGCUGAACUCCAGUGCACCCAGUUAGACUUGGAGCGGAAACUCAAGUUGAAUGAAAAUGCCAUCUCCAGGCUCCAGGCUAACCAAAAGUCUGUUCUGGUGUCGGUGUCAGAGGUCAAAGCAGUGGCUGAAAUGCAGUUUGGGGAACUCCUUGCUGCUGUGAGGAAGGCCCAGGCCAAUGUGAUGCUCUUCUUAGAGGAGAAGGAGCAAGCUGCGCUGAGCCAGGCCAACGGUAUCAAGGCCCACCUGGAGUACAGGAGUGCCGAGAUGGAGAAGAGUAAGCAGGAGCUGGAGACGAUGGCGGCCAUCAGCAACACUGUCCAGUUCUUGGAGGAGUACUGCAAGUUUAAGAACACUGAAGACAUCACCUUCCCUAGUGUUUACAUAGGGCUGAAGGAUAAACUCUCGGGCAUCCGCAAAGUUAUCACGGAAUCCACUGUACACUUAAUCCAGUUGCUGGAGAACUAUAAGAAAAAGCUCCAGGAGUUUUCCAAGGAAGAGGAGUAUGACAUCAGAACUCAAGUGUCUGCCAUUGUUCAGCGCAAAUAUUGGACUUCCAAACCUGAGCCCAGCACCAGGGAACAGUUCCUCCAAUAUGUGCAUGACAUCACGUUCGACCCGGACACAGCACACAAGUAUCUCCGGCUGCAGGAGGAGAACCGCAAGGUCACCAACACCACGCCCUGGGAGCAUCCCUACCCGGACCUCCCCAGCAGGUUCCUGCACUGGCGGCAGGUGCUGUCCCAGCAGAGUCUGUACCUGCACAGGUACUAUUUUGAGGUGGAGAUCUUCGGGGCAGGCACCUAUGUUGGCCUGACCUGCAAAGGCAUCGACCAGAAAGGGGAGGAGCGCAGCAGUUGCAUUUCCGGAAACAACUUCUCCUGGAGCCUCCAAUGGAACGGGAAGGAGUUCACGGCCUGGUACAGUGACAUGGAGACCCCACUCAAAGCUGGCCCUUUCUGGAGGCUCGGGGUCUAUAUUGACUUCCCAGGAGGGAUCCUUUCCUUCUAUGGCGUAGAGUAUGAUUCCAUGACUCUGGUUCACAAGUUUGCCUGCAAGUUUUCAGAACCAGUCUAUGCUGCCUUCUGGCUUUCCAAGAAGGAAAACGCCAUCCGGAUUGUAGAUCUGGGAGAGGAACCCGAGAAGCCAGCACCGUCCUUGGUGGGGACUGCUCCCUAGACUCCAGGAGCCAUAUCCCAGACCUUUGCCAGCUACAGUGAUGGGAUUUGCAUUUUAGGGUGAUUUGGGGGCAAAAAUAACUGCUGAUGGUAGCUGGCUUUUGAAAUCCUAUGGGGUCUCUGAAUGAAAACAUUCUCCAGCUGCUCUCUUUUGCUCCAUAUGGUGCUGUUCUCUAUGUGUUUGCAGUAAUUCUUUUUUUUUUUUUUUUUGAGACGGAGUCUCGCACUGUUGCCCAGGCUGGAGUGCAGUGGCGUGAUCUUGGCUCACUGCAAGCUCCGCCUCCCGAGUUCAAGCAAUUCUCCUGCCUCAGCCUCCCGAGUAGCUGGGAUUACAGGUGCCUGCCACCACACCCAGCUAACGUUUUGUAUUUUUAGUAGAGAUGGGGUUUCACCAUGUUGGCCAGGCAGAUCUCAAACUUCUGACCUCGUGAUGCACUCACCUCGGCCUCCCAAAGUGCUGGGAUUACAGGCGUGAGCCACUGCGCCCUGCCUGUUUGUAGUAAUUUUUAGGCACCAAAUCUCCCUCAUCUUCUAGUGCCAUUCUCCUCUCUGUUCAGGUAAAUGUCACACUGUGCCCAGAAUGGAUGACCAGGAACCUUCAAGAGUGGCUGAAAAGAUUGCAGAGUUAUCAUAAUAAAUUGCUAACUUGCGUA
This is an RNA transcript of Homo sapiens (human), 2503 nucleotides long. It is a transcript of the gene named tripartite motif containing 16 like (pseudogene), with no coding region annotated. The record is from RefSeq and is marked validated. Lineage: Eukaryota; Metazoa; Chordata; Mammalia; Primates; Hominidae. The transcript is spliced from 11 exons.